This is a small nuclear RNA of Cebus imitator (Panamanian white-faced capuchin), 106 nucleotides long. The record is from RefSeq and is a predicted model, not a curated record. Lineage: Eukaryota; Metazoa; Chordata; Mammalia; Primates; Cebidae.
GUGCUUGCUUAGACAGCACAUAUGUUAAAAUUGGGACAAUACAGAGAAAAUUACUAUGGCCCUUGUGUGAGGAUAUACACAAAUUCAUGAAGUGUUCUAUGUAUAU